GUGGGGAAUAUUGGACAAUGGGCGAAAGCCUGAUCCAGCCAUGCCGCGUGUGUGAAGAAGGUCUUCGGAUUGUAAAGCACUUUAAGUUGGGAGGAAGGGCAGUAAGCUAAUACCUUGCUGUUUUGACGUUACCGACAGAAUAAGCACCGGCUAACUCUGUGCCAGCAGCCGCGGUAAUACAGAGGGUGCAAGCGUUAAUCGGAAUUACUGGGCGUAAAGCGCGCGUAGGUGGUUCGUUAAGUUGGAUGUGAAAGCCCCGGGCUCAACCUGGGAACUGCAUCCAAAACUGGCGAGCUAGAGUACGGUAGAGGGUGGUGGAAUUUCCUGUGUAGCGGUGAAAUGCGUAGAUAUAGGAAGGAACACCAGUGGCGAAGGCGACCACCUGGACUGAUACUGACACUGAGGUGCGAAAGCGUGGGGAGCAAACAGGAUUAGAUACCCGAGUAGUCC
Molecule: ribosomal RNA, 450 nt
Filed under: uncultured bacterium
Lineage: Bacteria
Description: partial 16S ribosomal RNA
Rfam family: Bacterial small subunit ribosomal RNA
Source: RNAcentral